This 103-nucleotide microRNA precursor is filed under the name Marmota monax (woodchuck). The record is from RNAcentral. Lineage: Eukaryota; Metazoa; Chordata; Mammalia; Rodentia; Sciuridae.
AGUGGAAUAGCUGGGUCAAAUGGCAGUUCAAUUAUAAGUUUCCCCAGAAAUCACCAUACUGCUUUCCAUACUGGCUGCACCAAUUUGCAGUCCCACCAGCAAU